RNAcentral lists this ribosomal RNA (466 nucleotides) under uncultured bacterium. Its description in RNAcentral is "partial 16S ribosomal RNA". It matches the Rfam family "Bacterial small subunit ribosomal RNA", at positions 28 to 507 of the family's 1533-position model. The record is from RNAcentral.
GAUGAACGCUGGCGGCGUGCUUAACACAUGCAAGUCGAACGAUGAAGCCCAGCUUGCUGGGUGGAUUAGUGGCGAACGGGUGAGUAACACGUGAGUAACCUGCCCUUAACUCUGGGAUAAGCCUGGGAAACUGGGUCUAAUACCGGAUAGGAGCGUCCACCGCAUGGUGGGUGUUGGAAAGAUUUAUCGGUUUUGGAUGGACUCGCGGCCUAUCCGCUUGUUGGUGAGGUAAUGGCUCACCAAGGCGACGACGGGUAGCCGGCCUGGGAGGGUGACCGGCCACCCUGGGCCUGCGACACGGCCCAGACUCCUACGGGAGGCAGCAGUGGGGAAUAUUGCACAAUGGGCGAAAGCCUGAUGCAGCGACGCCGCGUGCGUGAUGACGGCCUUCGGGUUGUAAACCUCUUUCAGUAGGGAAGAAGCGAAAGUGACGGUACCUGCAGAAGAAGCACCGGCUAACUACGUG